UGGGUGGUGGUGCAUGGCCGU
RNAcentral lists this non-coding RNA (21 nucleotides) under Arabidopsis thaliana (thale cress). The record is from RNAcentral. Lineage: Eukaryota; Viridiplantae; Streptophyta; Magnoliopsida; Brassicales; Brassicaceae. RNAcentral also lists the same sequence under 3 other names.